CCUACGGGUGGCAGCAGUGGGGGAUAUUGCACAAUGGGGGGAACCCUGAUGCAGCGACGCCGCGUGGGUGAAGGAGUGCUUCGGCAUGUAAAGCCCUAUCGGCAGGGAAGAAGCAAGACGGUACCUGACUAAGAAGCCCCGGCUAACUACGUGCCAGCAGCCGCGGUAAUACGUAGGGGGCGAGCGUUAUCCGGAUUCACUGGGUGUAAAGGGAGCGUAGACGGCCAUGCAAGCCAGGGGUGAAAGCCCGGGGCCCAACCCCGGGACUGCCCUUGGAACUGUGCGGCUAGAGUGCGGGAGGGGCAGGCGGAAUGCCUGGUGUAGCGGUGAAAUGCGUAGAUAUCAGGAGGAACACCGGCGGCGAAGGCGGCCUGCUGGUCUGCAACUGACGCCGAGGCUCGAAAGCAUGGGUAGCGAACAGGAUUAGAUACCCGUGUAGUC
This 441-nucleotide ribosomal RNA is filed under the name uncultured bacterium. RNAcentral describes it as "partial 16S ribosomal RNA". It matches the Rfam family "Bacterial small subunit ribosomal RNA", at positions 338 to 795 of the family's 1533-position model. The record is from RNAcentral.